RNAcentral lists this long non-coding RNA (1342 nucleotides) under Gossypium barbadense (sea-island cotton). RNAcentral describes it as "long non-coding RNA (GBAR_LNC012376)". The record is from RNAcentral. Lineage: Eukaryota; Viridiplantae; Streptophyta; Magnoliopsida; Malvales; Malvaceae.
UCAUCUUUCUAUUCUAUAAAUUUUCGUGUUUUGUGAAAUUACACGAGAAGGAAAUUUUGUCUAGGAGAUUAGGUUUUAAGCGGGACCAUCUGUGACGUCUUUAAUCUUUCCUGAGAAUUGAACUUAGUAUGGUUGUACAAGCCCAAUUUUGGGCCCAAAACCCCUAAACCCACUAAGCCUAAAACCUAACAAAACCUAUCCAAACCCCAAACGAGCCCAAUAUCCACUAAAACUACAAGCCCAAAUACAACUUAAAAUCAGAAAGAAAACCCUAGCCUUUUGACACCUCUGCACCGCAGCCUGGCCACCGCCAAGGGUCAUGUCCACCGCCACUGUCCCCUCACUGCCCGUUUACCUGCAAGAAGAACAGAGUAAUUAAUUGAGAAGCAAGUUGUAGAGAAAUAGGGCUAUAAAGAGCCAAACAAUAACCAUUGUACAUGGGGAUUUUUUUGGUGAAAAAUAAAAAGCAAUUUUUGAUUUUAAACAAUAGCAAGAACAGAGACCACAGUAAUAUCAAAAGGCAAAAAAACAGUCCAAGCAAAGAAUCGAAACCUAAUAAUCCAAGGUGAUUUCAUUCGAUUACCAUCAUUAUUUUCUUUCUUUUUUAACCUAUUUAUUCACAUACAUAUAUAUAUCAUAAACAUAAAAAAAAUAUAAAAAUAAAUAAAAAAUUUACCUUUUUCGAAAUUCCGGACGGUGCCGACGUGGCGGCCGGUGGCUGGUCCGGCAGUGGAGACCCAGGGCUGAGAGAGAAUUGAGAACUUUUUUUUUUGUUUUUUUUAAAGAAGAAAACUGAUUUUUUUUUAAAAAGAUUUUGGGCUUAUAUAGGGGCACAAUACGGCGCCGUUUUGAGACUUAACUCAUGGCGCCAAAACGACGCCGUUUCAAGUGACCCGCGCGCAACCCGACCCGACGCCUGAGGAUCCGCGUGUUUUUAUAUAAUGGGCUAAUUUUUCGCGCGGUCCUUCCGCUUUUUAUACAUUUUGCAAUCAAGUUUUCAUUUCUUUUAAAUUAGCGCUGAAGUUUAUCGCACUUUUUGAUUUAGUCCUCCCUUCAGCGACGCCGUUUUAAGGACUCGGGGAAGUUUCCCUUUUGGCCCUCCGAGGUUGCGCGCAUAUUCAAAUGGGUCCUCUCUUUAUAUUUCCUUUCAAAUUGGCCCCAAAACUUUGUUUUUGUUUCAAAUUUGGUCCCUUUUUUAGAUUUAAUUUGAUUUCUAUAUUAUUUCUACCUUAUUUUUACUUAUAACAUUAUUUAUUAUUAUAUUUACUAUUAUUAUUAUUACUAUUACUAUUAUAUUUAGUAACAUAUUAUCAUUAUUUUUUAUUGUACCAUUAUUAUUCCG